RNAcentral lists this ribosomal RNA (468 nucleotides) under uncultured bacterium. Its description in RNAcentral is "partial 16S ribosomal RNA". It matches the Rfam family "Bacterial small subunit ribosomal RNA", at positions 28 to 507 of the family's 1533-position model. The record is from RNAcentral.
GACGAACGCUGGCGGCGUGCUUAACACAUGCAAGUCGAACGGAAAGGCCCUGCUUUUGUGGGGUGCUCGAGUGGCGAACGGGUGAGUAACACGUGAGUAACCUGCCCUUGACUUUGGGAUAACUUCAGGAAACUGGGGCUAAUACCGGAUAGGAGCUCCUGCUGCAUGGUGGGGGUUGGAAAGUUUCGGCGGUUGGGGAUGGACUCGCGGCUUAUCAGCUUGUUGGUGGGGUAGUGGCUUACCAAGGCUUUGACGGGUAGCCGGCCUGAGAGGGGUACCGGCCACAUUGGGACUGGGAUACGGCCCAGACUCCUACGGGAGGCAGCAGUGGGGAAUAUUGCACAAUGGGCGGAAGCCUGAUGCAGCAACGCCGCGUGCGGGAUGACGGCCUUCGGGUUGUAAACCGCUUUCGCCUGUGACGAAGCGUGAGUGACGGUAAUGGGUAAAGAAGCACCGGCUAACUACGUG